RNAcentral lists this long non-coding RNA (837 nucleotides) under Anser brachyrhynchus (Pink-footed goose). RNAcentral's name for it is "lncRNA (ENSABRG00000005171.1)". Lineage: Eukaryota; Metazoa; Chordata; Aves; Anseriformes; Anatidae. The record is from RNAcentral.
UGUUGUUAAUGCCUACUAACUAAUUUAGUUGCUAAUACCUGCUAAUUCCAUUUUUAUCAGCACAGAAGAAAACCCAAAGCCCAUCACAAAAAUGCUGCCGAUAGCCAAAUAAACUCCCUUAUUACACAAUAUCAGUGCGAACUAAGAAGUACCUUCCCGGCAGAGGGGCUCAGCAGCAGUUGCAGCUGGGGAGCUGAUGAUUCCUCUGUAAUAUAUUCGGUGCUAGUUAUUGGCAAGAAGCAAAAGAUGCGAAGUGGGAGUUUAAAGAAGAAAAACAUCAUGAAGAUACCAGGUCUUUCCUGACUUUUCCACAUCAUGCCAUUUUAUUCAAACAGACCAUGGUCCGACUUCUAAAAAGCAAAUUGCUAGCUGACAGCUGGAUCCACCUCUACUAUAAAUUAUUGGACUCAAGAGCAAGCUGGAAAUCCACCGCAGGAUCAUCAGGCGCAGUGGAGUUAGUUUGUAUUUACACUCUGGUAACCAAGCUGGGGAUUGGGUUUCCAGCAUUAAGGAGUCUUACAUAAAGCAAGAUUUGCUUUUCAUUAAGUUCCAUGUUGACAGACAUAAAUCCUCACUAUAAGUCCUUUCUAAUUUAUAUUUUGUUAGGAUAGGCCAGUACGCACAAAAUUUUUCCUAAUUCAUCUGCUGCAUUGUAAGGCUUUUAUUGUGCUUUAAAAUUAUUCCAGUAUUUUGAUCUGUGUUGUCAGGCUUCAUCCUCCACUGGUCUUUUUCCCUAGAAAAUGUAGGUGACAAAUAUUCACAAACACUAGUUAGAUCUGUGCCAAAGGGAAAGUUCAAAACAAUAAAGCUCUAGCCAGAAAGCUAUAUAGUGGGUGA